RNAcentral lists this ribosomal RNA (170 nucleotides) under uncultured bacterium. RNAcentral describes it as "partial 16S ribosomal RNA". It matches the Rfam family "Bacterial small subunit ribosomal RNA", at positions 338 to 524 of the family's 1533-position model. The record is from RNAcentral.
CCUACGGGAGGCAGCAGCAGGGAAUCUUGGGCAAUGGGCGAAAGCCUGACCCAGCGACGCCGCGUGGAGGAAGAAGUCCUUCGGGGCGUAAACUCCUGGACUGGGGGACGAGGAAGGACGGUACCCCAGUAGAAAGGAACGGCUAACUACGUGCCAGCAGCCGCGGUAAU